UAGGGAAUCUUCCGCAAUGGGCGAAAGCCUGACGGAGCAACGCCGCGUGAGUGAUGAAGGUCUUCGGAUCGUAAAACUCUGUUAUUAGGGAAGAACAAAUGUGUAAGUAACUAUGCACGUCUUGACGGUACCUAAUCAGAAAGCCACGGCUAACUACGUGCCAGCAGCCGCGGUAAUACGUAGGUGGCAAGCGUUAUCCGGAAUUAUUGGGCGUAAAGCGCGCGUAGGCGGUUUUUUAAGUCUGAUGUGAAAGCGCACGGCUCAACCGUGCAGGGUCAUUGGAAACUGGAAAACUUGAGUGCAGAAGAGGAAAGUGGAAUUCCAUGUGUAGCGGUGAAGAGCGCAGAGAUAUGGAGGAACACCAGUGGCGAAGGCGACUAUCUGGUCUGUAAUUGACGCUGAUGUGCGAAAGCGUGGGGAUCAAACAGG
RNAcentral lists this ribosomal RNA (429 nucleotides) under Actinomycetes bacterium. Its description in RNAcentral is "Actinobacteria bacterium partial 16S ribosomal RNA". It matches the Rfam family "Bacterial small subunit ribosomal RNA", at positions 355 to 776 of the family's 1533-position model. The record is from RNAcentral. Lineage: Bacteria; Bacillati; Actinomycetota; Actinomycetes.